CUGAAAUCAAGGGUGUCCUGUAAACCAGCUAAUCAGUGAGGAGCUGAGAUGGCCUCUGGACACUUGUAACCAUUGUGAGUGACUGUAUUUUCCUUGAGUGGCUGUCAGGAGCACAAGCUCUCUGGGUGCUGUUCCAUAUUGCCAGGAACCCCUGCUGCUCUGAGCUGUGGGACCAGUACUUCAGCUCUCAAAUGUUGUGCAUCUCCUGGAGCAUUUUGGUUUCCAUAGAUAUGUGCUCUUGGUUCAUCAUUAGUUUCCUUACCAACAACAAAGAGCAAGCCUCCAAUUCCUCGCACAAAGUUGAAGCGGAGGAUCUCGAUGGAGAACGCGAUGACUGCAAGGGCGAAACAGAUGACCAGGAUCACAAAGCCAACGAGGUAAAAUGUAGCAGGUGGAGGAGAAACAGCAAAAUCUGAGGUAAAAGUUGACGAAUC
Zonotrichia leucophrys gambelii is the source of this 434-nucleotide long non-coding RNA. RefSeq lists it as uncharacterized. The transcript has 4 exons. NCBI's taxonomy places the organism in Eukaryota, Metazoa, Chordata, Aves, Passeriformes, Passerellidae. The record is from RefSeq and is a predicted model, not a curated record.